UGGCAAGAAGUGAAAAUUUUACACUCGGUUUCGGCCCGAACUCUGGCUCAGAAUGAGCCCUUGCUAU
RNAcentral lists this transfer RNA (67 nucleotides) under Dendostrea sandvichensis. Its description in RNAcentral is "tRNA-Arg". The record is from RNAcentral. Lineage: Eukaryota; Metazoa; Mollusca; Bivalvia; Ostreida; Ostreidae.